RNAcentral lists this ribosomal RNA (490 nucleotides) under uncultured bacterium. Its description in RNAcentral is "partial 16S ribosomal RNA". It matches the Rfam family "Bacterial small subunit ribosomal RNA", at positions 29 to 507 of the family's 1533-position model. The record is from RNAcentral.
AGUGAACGCUGGCGGUACGCCUAACACAUGCAAGUCGAACGGCAGCACAGGAGAGCUUGCUCUCUGGGUGGCGAGUGGCGGACGGGUGAGGAAUACAUCGGAAUCUGCCCAGUCGUGGGGGAUAACGUAGGGAAACUUACGCUAAUACCGCAUACGACCUUCGGGUGAAAGAGGGGGAUCGCAAGACCUCUCGCGAUUGGAUGAGCCGAUGUCAGAUUAGCUAGUUGGCGGGGUAAUGGCCCACCAAGGCGACGAUCCGUAGCUGGUCUGAGAGGAUGAUCAGCCACACUGGAACUGAGACACGGUCCAGACUCCUACGGGAGGCAGCAGUGGGGAAUAUUGGACAAUGGGCGCAAGCCUGAUCCAGCCAUACCGCGUGGGUGAAGAAGGCCUUCGGGUUGUAAAGCCCUUUUGUUGGGAAAGAAAUCUUUCAGGCUAAUACCCUGGGAGGAUGACGGUACCCAAAGAAUAAGCACCGGCUAACUUCGUG